This 228-nucleotide ribosomal RNA is filed under the name uncultured bacterium. RNAcentral's name for it is "partial 16S ribosomal RNA". It matches the Rfam family "Bacterial small subunit ribosomal RNA", at positions 568 to 796 of the family's 1533-position model. The record is from RNAcentral.
UACGUAGGCGGCCAUAUAAGUCAGAACUGAAAGGCUACGGCUUAACCGUAGUAAGCUUUUGAAACUGUAUGGCUUGAGUGCAGGAGAGGAAAGCGGAAUUCCUAGUGUAGCGGUGAAAUGCGUAGAUAUUAGGAAGAACACCAGUAGCGAAGGCGGCUUUCUGGACUGAAACUGACGCUGAGGUACGAAAGCGUGGGGAGCGAACAGGAUUAGAUACCCUGGUAGUCC